GUAAGGAAUAUUGGUCAAUGGAGGCAACUCUGAACCAGCCAUGCCGCGUGCAGGAAGACUGCCCUAUGGGUUGUAAACUGCUUUUAUCCGGGAAUAAACCUCAUUACGAGUAAUGAGCUGAAUGUACCGGAAGAAUAAGGAUCGGCUAACUCCGUGCCAGCAGCCGCGGUAAUACGGAGGAUCCAAGCGUUAUCCGGAUUUAUUGGGUUUAAAGGGUGCGUAGGCGGCCUGUUAAGUCAGGGGUGAAAGACGGUAGCUCAACUAUCGCAGUGCCCUUGAUACUGAUGGGCUUGAAUGGACUAGAGGUAGGCGGAAUGAGACAAGUAGCGGUGAAAUGCAUAGAUAUGUCUCAGAACACCGAUUGCGAAGGCAGCUUACUAUGGUCUUAUUGACGCUGAGGCACGAAAGCGUGGGGAUCAAACAGGAUUAGAAACCCUGGUAGUCC
This 445-nucleotide ribosomal RNA is filed under the name uncultured bacterium. Its description in RNAcentral is "bacterial SSU rRNA". It matches the Rfam family "Bacterial small subunit ribosomal RNA", at positions 354 to 796 of the family's 1533-position model. The record is from RNAcentral.